CUAUAUCGAGUGACAAACUUAGUAUAUUCAAAAGGUUUUCUCUUGUAAAUGUUUGUGACGUAGUAAAAGUUACGAAUGGUUCCACAUAUUACUUAAGAACUAACUAAAGUUGCUAAUGAAGAACUAACUAUAGUUCGUUCAAGUAUAAUGGACCAACAGCGUGGUGGCUGUGUGAGCCAUAUGAAAAACAUUAUGACAGUGCUGCGGUGAAGGUAUCUAAGUGGCGAGGUGGCCAUUUAGAUAGUUAAAGAGGGACUGUCUGUAGAGCGAGGUGGCCGAACAGACAAUAAAAGGCGAGGUGGCCUUAUAAACUAUAUAGGGGCGAGGUGGCUAUUUCAUUAAUAUUGGGUCAGUUUAGUAAACAGCGUGGAGG
Molecule: unclassified non-coding RNA, 373 nt
Filed under: Melitaea cinxia (Glanville fritillary)
Lineage: Eukaryota; Metazoa; Arthropoda; Insecta; Lepidoptera; Nymphalidae
Description: misc RNA ENSMCXG00005012304.1
Source: RNAcentral